Molecule: long non-coding RNA, 2814 nt
Organism: Scylla paramamosain (green mud crab)
Lineage: Eukaryota; Metazoa; Arthropoda; Malacostraca; Decapoda; Portunidae
Exons: 8
Source: RefSeq, a predicted model, not a curated record
UUCCGCGGGAAACUACAACAAUCAUCAUCAGUCCACUGCUAUUUCCUCCGCGUAAAAGCAAUGCAAGAUGUGCUACCUCGUUUUGGAGGUGUUUUCAGGACACAGGGAAGGAAGAUGAAACCUGACUAUCUUGCACCUCAAAGGAUGGACAGCUUAGGAUACCACACGGAGGGGGGUGAAGGAGCCUUGGGGAUGCCUGAAGGAGGGGCAGUGAAGGAGGGUGGCCUGGAGGUGAAGGAAAUGCAGAAAAUUCCUCUAAUACUGAGCGCUUCUCUGGUCAGACCAUCCUUCACUGAAUAUUUGGACCGAGGCUUCAAGAUACGAGUGAGCCAGGCGACCCUCCAGAACACCGCCGUCCUGCCCACUUGUGGUGUGGCAGCCCUGAUCGUACCCUCCCUCCCUCCUCCUCCUCCUCCUCCUCCUCCAGCAAAGAAGAGACCUUUGACCAGCUGGUGGACAGGGUCCGCGCCUUUAGCCGAGUACACGCGGGGGGCGUUGUAAUACUGGUGGGUGCUGUGUUUGGCAUGGAGGAGGUGAACGGGGUGUUGGGGAAGUUAUCAAAGAGGUUACUACCACGCCCUCUCCUGCUACUGCCUGCCCACGGGGAAGCCCAGGCUGCCGCGCACAUACAACUACUGGCAAAGAAGUAGCGGCGGGGCUGGAAGUGGGCGGGAGUUUAGCAGGCUUCGCUAAGAUUGGGCUGGAAGUUAACGGAGGAGGAGGCGCGGCACGUGACAAUGCAAUACAGGGCUUACAGAGGACAGGCGUGGACUGGGCCCUGCCUCGCCGCCCUUGUCAACACCUUAGAGAGAGAUACGCUCACCUUGUAGAGAGAGAGAGAGAGAGAGAGAGAGAGAGAGAGAGAGAGAGAGAGGAUAUAUUUUAAUUUUCUUUCGUUAUAUAUUCAAUUUAUUUAUUUAUUUAUUAUUUUAACGGUUAUUUUCUUUUCUCUAUUUUUCGUUUCGUUUUUUUUUUAUGGAAUGUUGAAUUUUACCUAUUGUAACGCCCGGGUAUUAUUGUUGUUUAGUCUAAGUUGCCUUUAUUUCUUUCUGUGGGAUUGAGUGUGUGACGUGUGUGUGUGUCAGCUGUGCCUGGUGUCUGGCAGUGGUGCAUGGAUGGCGAGAGAGAAGUCGCGUGACUGCAGUGACUGGGCAGUGUGUUGUUGGCCCCGCUCUGGAUAACUUGUCUUUGCGUGUCCUCCGUGCCGAGUGCCUGUUGCGUGAGCCUGAAGAGUUUGACUGUCCCUGCCUGUGUCUGUAACUGCCUGUAACUAACGGAACUAGUAAAGGAAGAAAGUGUUGCCCACUGUUUGUCUACCCGCUCUGUCUGGCUGUGCGUGAAUCACGUGGGACGUGGUACCCUUAGCAUCUCUUGUCUAGCCUGCUGGUGUUCCCGAGUGCUGUCCUGACUGUCGGGGAAUUGUGGGCGUCUACGGGAGUGCUGAGCUUCUCCCUGUACCAAGCACCGCCACGCAGCACCAGAGAGCCAUGAGUACGUAAGUGAGGUGGCCAGAGUUGUGAAGUGAGUGUGGCAGCGAGCCCUGUGCUGCCGACAGUGACGUGUGGGGAGGCCACGGCGAAGUGUGCGUGUAAGAUUCCAGCGGAGGCGGCAGUCUGUGUGGCGGGGCCUCGGGGGAGAAAGUCUUGGCCUGGCCACCCUGCCUGUGACCUGUGGCCUCUUGUUGCUUCACCAUGUUAAGAGGGUGGUGCUGUGAAGCUGGUGGCACAGGAGCUGACCAGUGCUGCAGGAAGACAGCACACAGCUUCAGUAUCUUCGAUGAUAGUGUUUAAAUAUACCAUGUUGGUUUGUUUAUUAGCAGUCAGAUUAAUUUGCUUGGCUUAGUCUUCAUUUGUUCUUUAUUUAGUGUUGGCAUAUAUAUAAUUGUUUAGUCUUUUAUUUAGGAGAUCAAUUUUUCCCUGUGUGUUUAUUGUGUUGGCAAAUGUCUUCCCCUUUACAAGCUUACUCCUUGUUGUAGGCCAGUUCAAAGUGGAGCAUUUUGACUCCUAAUACUUGACUCACCAUACUCAUCAUCAACCUGUGUCCUGUACUUUGUGUGUAAGCUUCCAUAUCUUUGAGUCGUGCAUCUAAUACACUUUUCACUAUUCACCUGCACACGUUGAGCCUCGCUACAUUCACGCAGGACGGAACAAAACGAAGCCUGUCCAUUUUGUGUGUCCAUUCUUUAUUGUAGGACUACUUACAAGAUGCAGCAUUUGUAUAUGUAAUGCUGUGUGUGUGUGUGUGUGUAAGGGGGACACCUAUUGGUAAGGGGCUGUGGGGAGUCACUGUGGGUUUGUAAACAUACUGUGGGGGACAUACUGUGGGGCUGUGGGCUGAGAGAGAGAGAGAGAGAGAGAGAGAGAGAGAGAGAGAGAGAGAGAGAGAGAGAGAGAGAGAGAGAGAGAGAGAGAGAGAGAGCUUGCAUGAAUGAGUGUGAAGUGAAGCAGGUGUUGUUGAAGCAGGGGAGAGGUGUUACUCAGUGUUAUUCAUCACAGGAGAGGUGUUGUUGAUGCAGGGGAGAGGUGUUACUCAGUGUUGUUCACCUUCAUGUCCUGGACACAUGCACGGACUUGUGCCUCUGCAACCUGGCUGGCAGGAGGUGGCGGGGGGGGUGGCUGGCUGGCUACCCUCUGCAUCACCACUUGCUGGGGGAAAGAAGAGCACCAUUGUCAUCAUCAUUGUUUUCCUUCACAGUGUGCAAGGAAUGGUGGCAGAGGUUGUUGUUGUUGUUGUUGUUGUUGUUGUUGUUUUUGUUGUUGUCUGUUUCUUAUUAAAUGAUGUGUGUGUGUGUUAAAUAAAAGUAGUCCACAGUUA